RNAcentral lists this long non-coding RNA (501 nucleotides) under Phoenix dactylifera (date palm). RNAcentral describes it as "long non-coding RNA (PDAC_LNC022797)". The record is from RNAcentral. Lineage: Eukaryota; Viridiplantae; Streptophyta; Magnoliopsida; Arecales; Arecaceae.
UAACCUUGUCAUGAGAUAGCCUCUACGAGCUUAUGCGUAGGAUAGCCUCCACGGGCUUACGCGUGGGAUAGCUGCCAGGAGCUUAUGCGUGGGAUUUGUGCAGUCUUGGGCUGGGUCAUGAACUUGGUUAGUCCAAAGCCAGAAGUGAAAAACUUUGAAACUUGGGAAUCAGAGUAAUAUGUGAAUGGAUCACAUAAUGUGAAAAAUGAUUUAUGUAUAUGUACUGAUAUAUACACUUGUUGUUUGUUGAGCUUUUUGAAUGAUGAAAUAGCAUUUAUUUGAUGCUUGAUUUAUUUUAUUAUUAUUACUGUGUGUGGCUAUUGGAAUUCUUACUGGGCUGGAAAAGCUCAUACUACACUUACAUUUUUUUUUAGAGGCACGGGAUUUGUAGAAUCUGUCGGGUGGGACAAGAAGUGAGCUCGAUCUGGAGUCAGACUGCUAGAUAGAUAGAAGCAUCUUCUCUUUUGCUUAUGGACAUUUGAAAUUAUGUAAUCAUUCAGU